GUUUGAUGGCAGUAGUCAGGCAGAAGCGGCUGAGGUUUGCAGGAAGGCUGUGGAGACGCUGCAGGAUUAUGUUCCUGUCCAAGUGCAUCUGACCACCCCUGCACCUGCUGCUCCAUCUGAUCCUGCAAAACCUGGACCGUCUACACAGCAGCAGCAGGCUCCUGAAGAUGCACCACAAGCGUUGUCAUGGAUCUGCUGUCAAUCAAACACCUUUCUCAGUACUUCCUGGGUGAGCUGAGAGCUGUCCCUGCCGAUGGCGUCUCAUCAGUGCACGCUGCCCUCUGGAGACCUGGAGGCACUACUGCGCGUCUGCCUGCUCGAUUCUGGUUUUCCUGCUUUCGUGGAGGAAGUCGAGAAGAAGAUGAAAGAGCUGAUGCAAGAAUGAGGUAGAGUGUGCUCUCAAAAUCACUGUUGUAGUUAACAAAAACUAAAACAGUUAAAACUAAAAUAAAACAAAAAUAUGUUCGUUAAUUGCA
This is a long non-coding RNA of Cyprinus carpio (common carp), 476 nucleotides long. NCBI's taxonomy places the organism in Eukaryota, Metazoa, Chordata, Actinopteri, Cypriniformes, Cyprinidae. The record is from Ensembl.